CACUAGUUGUGGGGACCUUCCACGGUCUCUGCGUCGCAGCUAACGCAUUAAGUGCCCCGCCUGGGGAGUACGAUCGCAAGAUUAAAACUCAAAGGAAUUGACGGGGCCCCGCACAAGCAGCGGAGCAUGCGGCUUAAUUCGACGCAACGCGAAGAACCUUACCAAGGCUUGACAUAUACAGGAAUAUGGCAGAGAUGUCAUAGCCGCAAGGUCUGUAUACAGGUGGUGCAUGGUUGUCGUCAGCUCGUGUCGUGAGAUGUUGGGUUAAGUCCCGCAACGAGCGCAACCCUCGUUCUGUGUUGCCAGCAUUAAGUUGGGGACUCACAGGAGACUGCCGGGGUUAACUCGGAGGAAGGUGGGGAUGACGUCAAAUCAUCAUGCCCCUUAUGUCUUGGGCUGCACGCAUGCUACAAUGGCUGGUACAAACGGCUGCGAUACCGCAAGGUGGAGCGAAUCCGAUAAAGCCAGUCUCAGUUCGGAUUGGGGUCUGCAACUCGACCCCAUGAAGUCGGAGUUGCUAGUAAUCGUAGAUCAGCAACGCUACGGUGAAUACGUUCCCGGGGCUUGUACACACCGCCCGUCACGUCACGAAAGUCGGUACACCCGAAGUCAGUGGCCCAACCGCAAGGAG
Molecule: ribosomal RNA, 631 nt
Filed under: uncultured Actinomycetes bacterium
Lineage: Bacteria; Bacillati; Actinomycetota; Actinomycetes
Description: bacterial SSU rRNA
Rfam family: Bacterial small subunit ribosomal RNA
Source: RNAcentral